AUACUUGCCUGGCAGGGGAGACACCAUGAUCACGAAGGUGGUUUUCCAGGACGAGGCUUAUCCAUUGUACUUCGGAUGUGCUGACCCCUGCAAUUUCCCCAAAUUUGGGAAACUCGACUGCAUAAUUUGUGGUAGUGGGGGACUGCGUCCCACUCUCCCAUA
Molecule: small nuclear RNA, 162 nt
Filed under: Myotis brandtii (Brandt's bat)
Lineage: Eukaryota; Metazoa; Chordata; Mammalia; Chiroptera; Vespertilionidae
Description: U1 spliceosomal RNA
Rfam family: U1 spliceosomal RNA
About the family: U1 is a small nuclear RNA (snRNA) component of the spliceosome (involved in pre-mRNA splicing). Its 5' end forms complementary base pairs with the 5' splice junction, thus defining the 5' donor site of an intron.
Source: Rfam by way of RNAcentral